ACGAUUUAGACUUUUCCUCACGUUAUCACCCAAUUAUACAUUUGAUUAUGAACAAUCUCUUUUCGUAUCUCUU
Pangasianodon gigas (Mekong giant catfish) is the source of this 73-nucleotide non-coding RNA. The record is from the annotation of a GenBank genome assembly. NCBI's taxonomy places the organism in Eukaryota, Metazoa, Chordata, Actinopteri, Siluriformes, Pangasiidae.